This 267-nucleotide long non-coding RNA is filed under the name Brassica napus (rape). RNAcentral describes it as "long non-coding RNA (BNAP_LNC011608)". The record is from RNAcentral. Lineage: Eukaryota; Viridiplantae; Streptophyta; Magnoliopsida; Brassicales; Brassicaceae.
AGUACGCAGUGUUUGAUCGGGAAACGGUACGGAACGAGAGAACGUUCAGUUUUUAGAUGUGGGUUUAAGCAAAGACGUCUUAUUAACGGUCGGAAGAGUGUUUCGUUGGUUACAAGGAAAGGAGAUGCGUGAAAAGAAAGGUACCGGAGCCUUGAAGGCUUUACCGGAGAGAUACGACAAGGCGAGAUAACAAAGGUAAAACCCUAAUCUAGCCGCCCAGUGUGUAUCAGUGAUUUCGGAUCCCCCUUACGUUGCCUUUUCUUCCCC